CGGCGGACGGGUGAGUAACGCGUGGGUAACCUGCCUCAUACAGGGGGAUAACAGUUGGAAACGGCUGCUAAUACCGCAUAAGCGCACAGUACCGCAUGGUACCGUGUGAAAAACUCCGGUGGUAUGAGAUGGACCCGCGUCUGAUUAGGUAGUUGGUGGGGUAACGGCCUACCAAGCCGACGAUCAGUAGCCGACCUGAGAGGGUGACCGGCCACAUUGGGACUGAGACACGGUCCAA
RNAcentral lists this ribosomal RNA (238 nucleotides) under uncultured bacterium. Its description in RNAcentral is "partial 16S ribosomal RNA". It matches the Rfam family "Bacterial small subunit ribosomal RNA", at positions 96 to 334 of the family's 1533-position model. The record is from RNAcentral.